RNAcentral lists this ribosomal RNA (433 nucleotides) under uncultured bacterium. Its description in RNAcentral is "partial 16S ribosomal RNA". It matches the Rfam family "Bacterial small subunit ribosomal RNA", at positions 29 to 507 of the family's 1533-position model. The record is from RNAcentral.
AACGAACGCUGGCGGCAUGCCUAACACAUGCAAGUCGAACGAGACCUUCGGGUCUAGUGGCGCACGGGUGCGUAACGCGUGGGAACCUGCCCUUAGGUUCGGAAUAACUCCCCGACAGGGGUGCUAAUACCGGAUACUGUCUUCGGACCAAAGAUUUAUCGCCUUUGGAUGGGCCCGCGUUGGAUUAGCUAGUUGGUAGGGUAAAAGCCUACCAAGGCGACGAUCCAUAGCUGGUCUGAGAGGAUGAUCAGCCACACUGGGACUGAGACACGGCCCAGACUCCUACGGGAGGCAGCAGUGGGGAAUAUUGGACAAUGGGCGAAAGCCUGAUCCAGCAAUGCCGCGUGAGUGAUGAAGGCCUUAGGGUUGUAAAGCUCUUUUACCCGGGAUGAUAAUGACAGUACCGGGAGAAUAAGCCCCGGCUAACUCCGUG